UUUUCCCUACGGGGGCAGCAGUGGGGAAUAUUGCACAAUGGGGGAAACCCUGAUGCAGCGACGCCGCGUGAGUGAAGAAGUAAUUCGUUACGUAAAGCUCUAUCAGCAGGGAAGAAAAUGACGGUACCUGAGUAAGAAGCCCCGGCUAACUACGUGCCAGCAGCCGCGGCAAUACGUAGGGGGCAAGCGUUAUCCGGAUUUACUGGGUGUAAAGGGAGCGUAGACGGUGCGCCAAGUCUGGAGUGAAAUGCCGCAGCUUAACUGCGGAACUGCUUUGGACACUGGCGAACUAGA
RNAcentral lists this ribosomal RNA (294 nucleotides) under uncultured bacterium. Its description in RNAcentral is "partial 16S ribosomal RNA". It matches the Rfam family "Bacterial small subunit ribosomal RNA", at positions 333 to 645 of the family's 1533-position model. The record is from RNAcentral.